RNAcentral lists this transfer RNA (65 nucleotides) under Agrilus sp. AGR01. RNAcentral describes it as "tRNA-Gly". It matches the Rfam family "tRNA". Rfam says of the family: Transfer RNA (tRNA) molecules are approximately 80 nucleotides in length. Lineage: Eukaryota; Metazoa; Arthropoda; Insecta; Coleoptera; Buprestidae. The record is from RNAcentral.
ACUUAUAUAGUAUAAUAAUUAUACUUGACUUCCAAUCAAGAGACCUACUAGUCGUUGUAUAAGUA